AAAACCUUUAUGAAAGACACAUAAUUCUUACCCAUCCAGAAUUAAAAAGGCUCUUGGAAACAGAAACAGGAAAAUGAAGAUGUGAUUGCUAGCACCUUUGAGAAAACAACAAGAUUUGGGCAAAAAAGCAUUGAUAACUGUGUUUUCAGCAAGGAAAUGAAGAUUUCAGAAGGGGAGAUGUUAGAGUUCAGUGGGACAUCUGCCUCUAGAAGACUUGGACAUGUUGGUAAUAUAUGGUUUAAUAGCCUUCAAAAUAAGCUGAAAGGUACCACUGCCUUGAGGCUCAAGUGAAAGUCGCUGAUUUUAGCUAAGUUGGUACGCUGUCCAUUUACCUUCUCAUGGCUAUGUAUGCAAUGAGGGCUUUUGCAUUGCUGUUGGAGCAGAAAAGAUGGAAAAAAGAAUGGACUAGUGAAAUUUUCAUCAUCUUGUACGGUAAUAAAAGAACAGUGCAGGUGUGUUCUUAAAUUUGACAAGGAAAAAUAUCAGCACAAAAAAUGUCAAGCAUGAUUGCUCAGCAAUGAUUUCUGAAAGUACAGAGGGAUACAAAGAUGAUGAUCAACAACUCUUAAGAGUCGUUAAGGAAUGGACCAAUGAUUUGGUCCCUUUCUCCCUCAGAAGUCAACAGACCAGAUGAUCCGUUCCUCUGUAUUGACCGAUCUCCCACCUCAGUUGACUUUCUAUUGGCCUGGAGGAAACUCAGCUUGCUCUCCUCUGCAUCAUUCUUGCUUGCCCUCGUACAACUAGGAAGGUGCGGUGGGGACUUAACACCGACCAAUGGUAGCACAACUUCAGCUGAGCUGCUAGAAGUGGGACGUACAAAGCUGGACGUGCUCCAGCGCUUGCUUUGUUGGACCAGUGAACAGGGCCGUUGCUCGAGUUUCACCGCGUGGGAACAACAGGCUCAAGCAGUCACGCAGGGGACUUCUAGCUCAACAGUGUUCUU
Dromaius novaehollandiae (emu) is the source of this 943-nucleotide long non-coding RNA. RefSeq lists it as uncharacterized. The transcript is spliced from 7 exons. NCBI's taxonomy places the organism in Eukaryota, Metazoa, Chordata, Aves, Casuariiformes, Dromaiidae. The record is from RefSeq and is a predicted model, not a curated record.